AUUGAACGCUGGCGGCAGGCCUAACACAUGCAAGUCGGACGAGUGGCGGACGGGUGAGUAAUGUCUGGGAAACUGCCUGAUGGAGGGGGAUAACUACUGGAAACGGUAGCUAAUACCGCAUACCAUCAGAUGUGCCCAGAUGGGAUUAGCUUGUAGGUGAGGUAACGGCUCACCUAGGCGACGAUCCCUAGCUGGUCUGAGAGGAUGAUCAGCAACACUGGGACUGAGACAAGGUCCAGCCUCCUACGGGAGGCAGCAGUGGGGAAUAUUGCACAAUGGGCGCAAGCCUGAUACAGCCAUGCCGCGUGUAUGAAGAAGGCCUUCGGGUUGUAAAGUACUUUCAGCGGGGAGGCGUUACCCGCAGAAGAAGCACCGGCUAACUCCGUGCCAGCAGCCGCGGUAAGAC
RNAcentral lists this ribosomal RNA (406 nucleotides) under uncultured bacterium. Its description in RNAcentral is "partial 16S ribosomal RNA". It matches the Rfam family "Bacterial small subunit ribosomal RNA", at positions 30 to 526 of the family's 1533-position model. The record is from RNAcentral.